GUUUCACAAUGGGCGAAAGCCUGAUGGAGCGACGCCGCGUGGGGGAUGAAGGGCUUCGGUCCGUAAACCCCUGUCAUUUGCGAACAAACCUUUCCACCUAACAUGUGGAGAGCUGAUUGUAGCGAAAGAGGAAGGGACGGCUAACUCUGUG
Molecule: ribosomal RNA, 151 nt
Filed under: uncultured bacterium
Lineage: Bacteria
Description: partial 16S ribosomal RNA
Rfam family: Bacterial small subunit ribosomal RNA
Source: RNAcentral